GACGGAGGAUGCAAGCGUUAUCCGGAAUGAUUGGGCGUAAGGCGUCCGCAGGUGGCAGUUCAAGUCUGCUGUCAAAGACCGGGGCUUAACUUCGGAAAGGCAGUCGAAACUGAACAGCUAGAGUAUGGUAGGGGCAGAGGGAAUUCCUGGUGUAGCGGUGAAAUGCGUAGAGAUCAGGAAGAACAUCGGUGGCGAAGGCGCUCUGCUGGACCAUAACUGACACUCAGGGACGAGAGCUAGGGGAGCGAAUGGG
RNAcentral lists this ribosomal RNA (253 nucleotides) under uncultured bacterium. RNAcentral's name for it is "partial 16S ribosomal RNA". It matches the Rfam family "Bacterial small subunit ribosomal RNA", at positions 524 to 776 of the family's 1533-position model. The record is from RNAcentral.